GACGCACUAGAUUUAGGUUCUAGCGCCGCAAGGUGUGCGAGUUCAAGUCUCGCCUCCCGCACCAUUUUCAUCGGUUGUCACA
This 82-nucleotide transfer RNA is filed under the name Yersinia enterocolitica (type O:5,27) str. YE149/02. RNAcentral describes it as "transfer RNA-Leu". Lineage: Bacteria; Pseudomonadati; Pseudomonadota; Gammaproteobacteria; Enterobacterales; Yersiniaceae. The record is from RNAcentral.